UAACAAGGAUUCCCCCAGUAACGGCGAGUGAAGCGGGAACGGCUCAAAUUUGAAAUCUCCGUUGUUUCAACGGCGAAUUGUAGUUUCGAGAAGCACUUUCUAGGCGGAUCUUCGUCGUCUAAGUUGCUUGGAACAGCACGUCAUAGAGGGUGACAACCCCGUCUAGGACGAAGGAGGCCGCUGACGAUGUGUUUUCGAAGAGUCGGGUUGUUUGGGAAUGCAGCCCAAAAUGGGUGGUAAACUCCAUCUAAAGCUAAAUAUAGGCACGAGACCGAUAGCGAACAAGUACCGUGAGGGAAAGAUGAAAAGAACUUUGAAAAGAGAGUUAAAAAGUACGUGAAACCGUUAAAAGGGAAACGAAUGGAGUUAGCAAUGCACCCUGCAAGAUUCAGCCGGCAGGUGGUGCGGACGGGCGGUUGGCGGAUCUGCAUGGACCGCCGCCGUUCGGCUCGCGCUCCCCGCCGUCGCACUUCUUGCGAGUGCGCGUCAACGUCGGUUCGGCGCCGGUGUCAAAAGCUGGCGGGAAGGUAGGUCGUGGAUUUCGGUCCGUGACUGUUAUAGCCCGUCUUCUGAUGACCGGAGCCGGACCGAGGCGUCGCAGCGCAUGCCUCUUUUGGCUAGGGUCCUUCGCGGCCGGUCGGUUGUCGACUGUGGUGGACUGCUCGCAGUGCACCCGAACUGCUGCCGGUCGCUGGCGAGGUGACUUCGUACAAUGCGCUCAGGACGUUGGCGGUCAUAUGGCUUCAUCCGACCCGUCUUGAAACACGGACCAAGGAGUCUAGCCUGUGCGCGAGUCUUUGGGUGAAAGAAACCCCCGGGCGCAAUGAAAGUGAAAGCGGUUUCGGCCGCCGAGGUGAGAACCCUUCUCUCGUGGAGGGGCGCAUCAUUGACCGAUCUAUUCUACUCUUAGGAAGAUUUGAGUAAGAGCGUACACGCUGGGACCCGAAAGAUGGUGAACUAUGCCUGAAUAGGGUGAGGCCAGAGGAAACUCUGGUGGAGGCUCGUAGCGAUUCUGACGUGCAAAUCGAUCGUCAAAUUUGGGUAUAGGGGCGAAAGACUAAUCGAACUGUCUAGUAGCUGGUUCCCUCCGAAGUUUCCCUCAGGAUAGCUGGAGUUCUUUAGCAGUUUUAUCAGGUAAAGCGAAUGAUUAGAGGUCUUAGGGUUAAAACGACCUUAACCUAUUCUCAAACUUUAAAUUGGUAAGAAGUCCGACUUGCUUGAUUGAAGCCGGACAGUGAAUGCGAGCUCCUAGUGGGCCAUUUUUGGUAAGCAGAACUGGCGAUGCGGGAUGAACCGAACGCCGAGUUAAGGUGCCUAAGUCGACGCUCAUCAGACCCCACAAAAGGUGUUGGUUGCUACAGACAGCAGGACGGUGGCCAUGGAAGUCGGAAUCCGCUAAGGAGUGUGUAACAACUCACCUGCCGAAGCAACUAGCCCUGAAAAUGGAUGGCGCUCAAGCGUCGCACCUAUACUCGGCCGUCGGGGCGAGUGCUAGGUCCCGACGAGUAGGAGGGCGCGGUGGUCGUGACGCAGCCUCUGGCGCGAGCCUGGGUGAAACGGCCUCCGGUGCAGAUCUUGGUGGUAGUAGCAAAUAUUCAAAUGAGAGCUUU
Molecule: ribosomal RNA, 1610 nt
Filed under: Hydrozoanthus gracilis
Lineage: Eukaryota; Metazoa; Cnidaria; Anthozoa; Zoantharia; Hydrozoanthidae
Description: partial 28S large subunit ribosomal RNA
Rfam family: Eukaryotic large subunit ribosomal RNA
Source: RNAcentral